UGAGGAAUAUUGGUCAAUGGGCGCAAGCCUGAACCAGCCAAGCCGCGUGAAGGAUGAAGGCCCUAUGGGUUGUAAACUUCUUUUAUACGGGAAGAACCCCCCGACGUGUCGGGGACUGACGGUACCGUACGAAUAAGCAUCGGCUAACUCCGUGCCAGCAGCCGCGGUAAUACGGAGGAUGCAAGCGUUAUCCGGAUUUAUUAGGUAUAAAGGGUGCGUAGGCGGACCUGUUAGUCAGUGGUGAAAUACUACGGCUUAACCGUAGAACUGCCAUUGAUACUGCAGGUCUUGAGUACAGUUGAGGUAGGCGGAAUGUGUGGUGUAGCGGUGAAAUGCUUAGAUAUCACACAGAACACCGAUUGCGAAGGCAGCUUACUAAGUUGUAACUGACGCUGAUGCACGAAAGCAUGGGGAGCAAACAGG
Molecule: ribosomal RNA, 423 nt
Filed under: uncultured bacterium
Lineage: Bacteria
Description: bacterial SSU rRNA
Rfam family: Bacterial small subunit ribosomal RNA
Source: RNAcentral